RNAcentral lists this unclassified non-coding RNA (281 nucleotides) under Glomeraceae sp. Its description in RNAcentral is "partial contains 5.8S ribosomal RNA and internal transcribed spacer 2". The stretch from base 1 to 71 matches the Rfam family "5.8S ribosomal RNA", at positions 84 to 154 of the family's 154-position model. Lineage: Eukaryota; Fungi; Glomeromycota; Glomeromycetes; Glomerales; Glomeraceae. The record is from RNAcentral.
GUGAAUCAUCGAAUUUUUGAACGCAAAUUGCACUCUCUGGUAUUCCGGAGAGCAUGCCUGUUUGAGGGUCAGUUUAAAUAAAACUUGGUGUGGUUGAUGCUUUUCGUGGUGAUGUACCGGAUUUGGGUCGUCUUGCCUUCGGUUAAGUGAAAUACAAUUUUGCAUGAUUUUUUCGUACGUAUUUAAAUGAUUUUAUGUAUGUUUGAGAUACCGAAUAAUAGGUGUGGUCAUCCUUAUGAUUCGUGUCUAUAUUUUUUUAUCAAAAUGACUUCAUAUAAGGU